Molecule: non-coding RNA, 4919 nt
Organism: Macaca mulatta (Rhesus monkey)
Lineage: Eukaryota; Metazoa; Chordata; Mammalia; Primates; Cercopithecidae
Source: RefSeq, a predicted model, not a curated record
CACUCCAGUCUGGGUGACAGAACGAGACUCCCUCUCAUAAGUAAUAAAAUAAAAUAAAGGGAGGAACACAGACCUGUUCUGUGGCAUCUUGUUUGGAUUACUGGCUUUUAGUUUUUUUGUUUUGAGAAAGCAGACCACACCAGUCUCCAAUAUGUAUUUCCUUUCCCUCUCAUGACAAAAGAGACCAUUAGCAACCUUUCAAAGUUACUCCCAUAUCCCCACUGAGGAUAGGUUUGAGAUUAGGGCCUGCUUCUCACCCAGCCUCCAUCCAAACUGCAGGUAAGACUGGUUUGUUAUGGCCUCAAUGGGAAGAGUGCAGGAACACAGUGGCUGAUGUGAAGGUGAGCCCAGGAGUCAGACCAGGUACUGACCAUGAGGACUGAAGGGCAUGGUCAGUACCUGGUCACCAUAAGGUCUGGGUCUGGACUCACAGCACAUCAAGUGCAUUGCAGUCCCUGACCCACCCUGGAGGGCAGCACCCUAUGGGCAGAUACCUUCAGUCCCUAAGACCCUGAACCCAGAGAAAAAGGUUGCUCUGGUGUCUUGCACUCUUGCCUUAGGAUCUCUCAGGUAACAAGGUGGGGUUUUGUUUGUGUAAAUAUUGAUGGUCACGCAUGUGAGAUCCUGUACAGGAACAGGCUCAGCAGGUGACAAACACUUGCAGACUGAAGGAAUGUCCCAGUCCCCAGCCCCAGUGUACCGGCUUUCCCCAGGGCAGGCUGUGGCCUUUCCUCAUGCUCUCCCUUAAGGUGUUCUGGCGGCGGAUCAGAAUCUCUUUAGCCUGCUUCUCACUCGUUUGGGGUUUGAGGUUAUAUUUGUUGUAGGACAGGGUCUGCAGAGAAAAUGGAAUGUCAAAUAUGUAAGGACUCCUUCGUACAACUUUCAGCCAAGGAAGCCACGGAAACAUCAGGAACCUAAGACCAAAAGAACAGGUGAGCACCUUGGAGGUCAGCUAAGCAUUUGAUUACGAAUGAGCAAGUUUCAGUCCUAGGAAGAAAAGUGUGUGACCCCAGGUCAUGCUGCUCUUAGGGCAGAGCUGUGGCUGGAGCCUCUGCCUUCUGCUCUAACCCUUACAGCGGUCCUUCCCUUAGUUACCCACAGACUCGGCCUGCCCCAUACAUACACUUUCCUUUCCAGGUCAUGUUUUGGAUGCCAGGCCAGUGAAUUUAAUAAGAAAGGAAAAUAUCAAAACUAAACUACUUUGGGACUUUCCAUAGGGCUGUUGUCUUUUAAUUUUACCAAUUAAGGAUACCUACACAUGCAUGCGUGCGCACACACACACACACACAAUUUCUAUCAACCAUUAUCAUCAUCAAUUCAGAAAGAAAGUCUCUUAACCAAAGUCACAAGAAGAACAUAAUUUGAGAUUUAAAAAAAAAUAGUCCUUCAAAUUGAAUCAAUUUAGCUUUAUGAGAACAUCUUCCUUGUCCUUUACCCCAGACCAAUGGAAACUUGUCAUGGACCCUAGGCCAACAUUAGUCAGUCCUCAGACAAAUGUUUGCAAAAUGCUUAACUGAAAUUUCUUCUCCUUUUUGGUGCUCACUAAAGGCCCACCAGCAAAUGCUCAGUUUGCCAGUAGGUGACACACUGUGUGCACUGAUAAACCACAAAGUCCUGGUAGAUGACAGGAUCAGGACCGCAGGGGCUCUCCCUCCCAAGUGACGGAUGCUGUGAUGGGGAUAGUCAGUUCCACUUCAAUAGAGAAAAUGCUGUAUGUGCCCUCAGGUGCUGUGGAAGGCACAGGAUUAAAUAAGUGAGUACAUUAGAACUACAGUCUUCAAAAGGCUUACAGUUUCCUGGAAAAGUCAAAUCAAUAGGGAUAAGAUGCUGUGCAUGCAGGUAAGUGAUAAGAUUCUGGGAUCAUCAGGGGUCGUAGAGUACAGGCAAAAGGCACUUCAUCCAGUCUUGGAUGGGAAAAGUUCAGUGUACUGAGAUAAGUCUUGAAAGAUGAGUGAGUGUUAUCCUGGGAAUAAAUUCCAGGAAGAGAAAACACAUGAGCUAAGACGUCAGCUGGUAACCACCUUGGAGGUGAGAGGACAGUCAGAGGAUGUGCUGGAAAAGAGCCAGGAAUGAGUCUGUUACACACAAAAAAAUGGGGUGCUUCAUUCAAAGUGUGUGAGAGGUGAGACUGGAGGGGCAUGGAGGGGCUGGGGUCAGGCCACAGGUAGCCUGCCAAGGAGUACAGGCUGCAUUUUUCAGGCCAUGUGUUUUUUAGGUGGGUGCACACACUCCAAAAAGUGCCACAAGAUGCCCCACAGGGUGAGAAAGAAAAUACUGAUACUUCUAUUUCUAUUGAUCUUUAUCCAAACAAAUACAAAGCAUAUUAAGCUCUAUUAGUACUUAAUAUAUGAAUGUAUAACGGGCCCUCACUCAGUCCAUACAUGAGACAGUCAAGUCAACAAGGGAUUCACAAUGGCAUCCUCAUAGGUUUCACCAGCUUGCAGUUCAUUGUGUUUCAGUGUGUGUGCAUCCAGUUAAGUAGAUGUGUGGUUUCCAUUAGCUAUUAACUAAAGUAACCCUCACAAAAUAGACAAUUGUAUUAAAAAAGUGUUGUAAAGAAGGUGUAAACUGGACUGCCAAGGUGGCUCACACCUCUAAUCCUAGCACUUCAGGAGGCCAAGACAUGUGGAUCACUGAGCCCAGUAGUUUGAGACCGACCUGGGCAAUGUGACUAAACCCUAUCUCUACAAAAAAUACAGAAAAAAAAAAAUAGCUGGAUGUGGUGGUGUGAACCUGCGGUCCUAACUACUCACGAAGCUGAGGUGGGAGAAACGCUUGAGUGUAGGAGGUCAAAGCCACAGUGAGCCGUGAUCAUGCCACCGCACUCUAGCCUGGGUGACAGAGUGAGAGUGACACCUGUCUCCAAGGGAAAAGAAAAGAAGGCAUAAACUAAAGGCCAAGGGAACAAUGAGGGAAGGGUAAAUCCAACUUUCUCCUCCCAAUGGGAGCUCUUUGUCAUCCACUUCUGACACAUUAACACAUCUGACAAGAAUUUUCCCCAAAAAGUUGAAAUUUGAAAAUAGUUUGAAAUAUGAAUUCUUAUCUAUCAUUAGUAAUGAUACACCUCAACCUAUGUGCAUUUUAUACAUUGAAAUAUUAAAUAUUAAAAAUGGUAACAUGACACAGUCGUGAAAAAUAAAACAAGAAUUAGGAAUAUAGAGACAAACUUUUACAAUUGUUUAUCAAUUUUAAAAUCAUGCAAAACUGAAUGCAGUGUGUGUGUGUGUGUGUGUGUGUGUGUGUAUACAUACAAUGUAUUGCUAGUAGGAUUUCCUACACCUAGACUUGGGAGGAGGUUGUACUUUUUAAGGAACACUUGGGCGGUUGGCUUCCUAUUUCACCUCCCAUAACCUGCCAUGACCCACGUGCUUCUCUAUUUUGCCUGUCUACAGGGGGCAUAGAAGCCUCUAUGCAUAUAAUGUGCAUGCAAGUUUCUUCCCUCCUCUCCCUCCAUUUCUGUGUUACAGUGGAGCUUGUACUUCCCACUGGACCUUGAGUCCUAAAAGAGAAAGAACUUUGUCUUAUUCAGUGCAGUGUUCCUGAUGCCCGGCACAUUCUAGAUGUGCAUUAACUGUUUGCUGAAGGAAACUGAAAUUGCUCCCUUCCUUUGAAAGCAUGUAGAAAUUCUGAGAGUAAUCUGAUUAUCCAGGCUACUCAGGAACCACCCAUCAAUCUGUGACCUAUCCUGGGGGUCUGGGCUGAAGCCAGUUUCUUCUCUUGUAAGUUUAGUCAUAGUAUUUCUCAACCUCCAUCCCCACUGUGUUUCAGAGAGCUUCCUCUGUGGUUGUCCUACCAGGAACCUCCAGAGGUGAGUCCUUUAAGUUUUCCACCCAUGAAGAUUCUGUCCUGGGUUUACUGAGUCGAAGGACUUCAAACAGAAUUGGCUGGAGUCCUCCUAGGAGCAACAGACCCAGCAGGGCCAGCUCAGUUUUGGAUCAACUCUGCAUUAGGGUCGCCCAGAGUCAAACUCUGCAUUCAUCCUGGUCCUGUUCUGAGGUAAAUCCCAAUGCCCAAGAUGGCCUCUUUCAAGAUGUGAUCAGUGAGAAAUGCCCUGGCUACCAGGGCUGCAUCUAUCAUCCAGGCUACAGAGGGCAGGAUGGCUAAGGUAGACUUUUCCUUCAAGAGAUCAAGAGGACCACGGUGGAAGACAGAAUUCUCAUGACCUUUGUAAAGCUGAGUAAGGAGAGGAAGACGGGAAGAGGUAGGACUGUCAAUACAACUGGGACAAGUGCACUGUGAUCAGUGUCCUGGUGCCAUCUUUGUUCUGUGGUGUGGUGGAUGAGCUUCUUUGCAGAGAGACCUGCUAGUUCUGGAAAGCACCAGGCUGCAGGGCUAGGGCAGCCUGCCCCCUAGAGACGCAGAGAGAAAAUAUUCAGCAAGAGUUCACCUUACAGAGGAUGACAUGAACAUCAGGGGACUCCUGAAGGACUGUUUUGAAGGACAGACAAGGGGGACAACACAGGUGGCUCAUACACACCCUUUGCCGAACUUGGUACAUGUUGGAUGUCAGAAUGUCCCUUAUGGACUCCACAUCUUCAGGGGAAAGUCUUUUGAUUCCUUGUAUCCUCUGGGCCCUGGAAUCGUUAUUGGAGAAGAGACAAACAUUAUUCUUUCAUUUGGCAAGAGGUGCCACAAAAAUAUCAGUGGGCCUUGCUCUGUACUGAGGGGAAUCCUAAGCUCCAGAAUCCUACAUAUAAUUUUCCUAUUGUUCUAGUAAGUUGAUUUGAAAUGUCAGAACACGUGUCUUGACUUCAGGUUUUGAAAAUACUGGUCCUUUGCCUAUAGCUUAUAUGUGGUAAUUAUUCCAACCCAUUUUUUGAAAAAGGUCUAAAGCGGUAACAAGUUUUUUUUUCCCCCACAAAUCUGUUAUGAACUGGAAUGUUUGUACGAUACAAUAAAAGUCAAUUGUUAGAAAAUGA